RNAcentral lists this ribosomal RNA (289 nucleotides) under uncultured Peptoniphilus sp. RNAcentral's name for it is "partial 16S ribosomal RNA". It matches the Rfam family "Bacterial small subunit ribosomal RNA", at positions 73 to 354 of the family's 1533-position model. The record is from RNAcentral. Lineage: Bacteria; Bacillati; Bacillota; Tissierellia; Tissierellales; Peptoniphilaceae.
AACCUCGGGCGAAGAUAAGACGGAUUAGCGGCGGACGGGUGAGUAACACGUGAGUAACCUGCCUUUACACAGGGAUAGCCUCGGGAAACCGGGAUUAAAACCUGGUGAAACUAUCAAAUCACAUGAUUAAGAAAGUUAAAACUCCGGUGGUAAAAGAUGGACUCGCGUCCCAUUAGCUAGUUGGUGAAGGUAACGGCCCACCAAGGCAACGAUGGGUAGCCGGCCUGAGAGGGUGAACGGCCACAUUGGAACUGAGAAACGGUCCAAACUCCUACGGGAGGCAGCAGGC